RNAcentral lists this long non-coding RNA (2247 nucleotides) under Triticum aestivum (bread wheat). RNAcentral's name for it is "long non-coding RNA (TAES_LNC010116)". Lineage: Eukaryota; Viridiplantae; Streptophyta; Magnoliopsida; Poales; Poaceae. The record is from RNAcentral.
AAAGACAGGAUAUGCGCUGACUGAAUAGCCUGCACGGAAGGCAUUAGCACUACACUAAUGUCCCUAAAAUCUACACACCAAAAAUGUAGCAAAAAUCCUGACAAUUAGAAUAUAUUGUAAAACAGAAUGCCAAAGACAGUUCAGUAUAUAUUACCAAUGCAACUCUGUUAUCAACAAAAUGAGCUGACUAAUUUAACUGGGCAAAAAUGGAUUUGAUUGUGGUAACCAGUUAGAACACAAGGUAACAGUGUCUCACGUGCUUGAGGCCGGUGCGGGGCACGUUGGACCUAGCGAAGGAUCGGUACAAUUUAUGCGGCCAUAUCUAUCUACAAGGAAGAACGGCGAGAUAGUCAUCGAAGAAGCAUUAGAGCAACAAAAGUCCUCCUGAACCUUUGAUUCUGUGAAGGGCAGGUAAAAGUAAAAUUUUGUUCCAAAAUUAUUUGAUAACCAGUUAAGUUCGAAUGUGAAAUUUGAGAUUACAACAGUACAAAAAAUAACUAUGAAAUGAUGAGGAUCAUCUCCCUUCAGAAAUGUCAUCAAUUAAGAAUGCUAAAAAGAUCAUCGCAAAUACAGAUACAUAAGUGCAUGACACUUGGUCUAGCCUACCUGAAGGCCUUAUCUCUGCUGUAAAGAGAUGAUUGUAGGGGCACUUAUACAAAGAUAAUGUCUUCUCCUCAAAGUGCACGGCCAACACGGAAUCCGCUGCCUUCAGUCUGUCCUAAUUUUGCCAUGCACCCCAUGUCUGAUUAUCCACAAGAGCUCUGACAAACAACGAACCAGCUGGACCAUGAAACAGAAGGACAAUAAAUUUACGAGGAAGGUAAUUUUCUGUUAUUGGCAAAACAUUUGAUAUUGAUUAAACCAACACCAACCACUACUUUCUCGCGUAUCUAUUGCCAAAAUCGCAGCUUCUCUUAUAGAUCAUAAGUGUGGUGACUGAACCCCACUUACCGUAGUAUAAAAUCCGUUGCAGCCACCUACUCCACAUAUGUGUGUGUGUGUGUUGCUAUCUCUAAAUCGAAUAAACCUCCAAUGUAUGCAAUUCAUGAGCACAAAACAGAAAUUAUAGUUCAGUAACUCUAGAAAUUAAUCAAAUUGAGGGAUCCUAAUCAUAAUUUUUUACAUACAUAUGGAUCACACAGAUUAGGAAAUUUCUGAAGUUACAGAGGACUAAAAAAUGAAUCGGGAGGAGAGAAAUCAUGACUCACCUCACCCAACAACAAGGUGGAAACUGCAACCCAAGAAAAAGAUGCCCUUCCCUCUCUCGGUGAAGAGCAUGCAUGCCUUAAUGAGGUGCUGACGUCAAUCUCCUUCCUUCCUUGGAUGUGCUAUCUAAGUACAAAUUCCAGAAAAAAAAUACAAAUCAUCCAAAGGAGAUUACUUUCCAGUAGUCAGGGGCCGCAAAAUGCAGCCAUGACACACCUAUUAUACAUGUGCAUCCACCUUUAAGAGUGACUAAUCAGUAAUCACUAAAAGGGAGUAGGAAAUAAACAAAAUACUCAUAUUACUGUUAAGAGAUGAAUAAAACAUAUCAUUUUUAGGCUUUUGCAACCAGUGGCAAGAAACAAAUACAUGUGCAUCCUACUGCUGAUUCCUCACAAUAAUAACCUACUUGAUCAACACUGGUACAAAAAUAAAUAUUAUAUAAACGAACUAAUCUUGAAAAAUGGUAGUUGGAUUAAGAAGCAAUUAAUUUGAAGAGCCCAAGAAUAUUUGUGGAGAUGGAAAAAUGACUCCUCGUUGGCGUUCCAGCAAAUAGGCCGUGAGCAACUCAGUCUGCUACGUAAUAAAAUAAAUUAUGGAGCUAACCAACGUGCAAGAUUGAUUUCUACAAAACAGAUUCACUUAUAUGCAAUGGCAUAUGCGUGGUGGCAGGGUUAUCUCACCACGGAAAAGGAUUCUGAAUCCCAUCUGGCCGCAGAGUCCACACACCACAGCUCACUGCAACGGCUAUCUCAGCGCCUGCCUUGAAGACACGAAGCAGUGUCGCUUGGAGCGGCCGGCAUGGAGUUGACGAGCACGUGCUCGGAGGCUUGUUCCCCUCUCCGGGAUCAGUCUGGACAAGGAGUAGCGUGAACCUCAGAGGAAGAUCCCAUUGUUGGUCGGGCUCAGGGAGCUUUUCGAGGAGCGGAAGUAAUGGAGCAGCAGCUAUAAUGAUUGGUCCUCACCAUCCACCACCUCUUCAUCUGACUUUCCGGGUGGGGCGAGAUCGUGGUACGACGGUGGCCGAGGCUGAACGCCACGAAG